Molecule: ribosomal RNA, 253 nt
Filed under: uncultured bacterium
Lineage: Bacteria
Description: partial 16S ribosomal RNA
Rfam family: Bacterial small subunit ribosomal RNA
Source: RNAcentral
UACGGAGGGUGCAAGCGUUAUCCGGAUUCACUGGGUUUAGAGGGUGCGUAGGCGGGCUGGUAAGUCAGUGGUGAAAUCUCCGGGCUUAACCCGGAAACUGCCGUUGAUACUAUCUGUCUUGAAUAUCGUGGAGGUAAGCGGAAUAUGUCAUGUAGCGGUGAAAUGCUUAGAUAUGACAUAGAACACCCAUUGCGAAGGCAGCUUACUACACGAUCAUUGACGCUGAGGCACGAAAGCGUGGGGAGCAAACAGG